AUGAACGCUGGCGGCGUGCCUAAUACAUGCAAGUCGAGCGAACGGACGAGAAGCUUGCUUCUCUGAUGUUAGAGGCGGACGGGUGAGUAACACGUGGAUAACCUACCUAUAAGACUGGGAUAACUUCGGGAAACCGUAGCUAAUACCGGAUAAUAUUUUGAACCGCAUGGUUCAAAAGUGAAAGACGGUCUUGCUGUCACUUAUAGAUGGAUCCGCGCUGCAUUAGCUAGUUGGUAAGGUAACGGCUUACCAAGGCAACGAUGCAUAGCCGACCUGAGAGGGUGAUCGGCCACACUGGAACUGAGACACGGUCCAGACUCCUACGGGAGGCAGCAGUAGGGAAUCUUCCGCAAUGGGCGAAAGCCUGACGGAGCAACGCCGCGUGAGUGAUGAAGGUCUUCGGAUCGUAAAACUCUGUUAUUAGGGAAGAACAUAUGUGUAAGUAACUGUGCACAUCUUGACGGUACCUAAUCAGAAAGCCACGGCUAACUACGUG
Molecule: ribosomal RNA, 496 nt
Filed under: uncultured bacterium
Lineage: Bacteria
Description: partial 16S ribosomal RNA
Rfam family: Bacterial small subunit ribosomal RNA
Source: RNAcentral